This 247-nucleotide ribosomal RNA is filed under the name uncultured Actinomycetales bacterium. Its description in RNAcentral is "partial 16S ribosomal RNA". It matches the Rfam family "Bacterial small subunit ribosomal RNA", at positions 86 to 334 of the family's 1533-position model. Lineage: Bacteria; Bacillati; Actinomycetota; Actinomycetes; Actinomycetales. The record is from RNAcentral.
GGUACUCGAGUGGCGAACGGGUGAGUAACACGUGAGUAACCUACCCUUGACUUUGGGAUAACUUCAGGAAACUGGGGCUAAUACCGGAUAGGAGCUCCUGCUGCAUGGUGGGGGUUGGAAAGUUUCGGCGGUUGGGGAUGGACUCGCGGCUUAUCAGCUUGUUGGUGGGGUAGUGGCUCACCGAGGCUUUGACGGGUAGCCGGCCUGAGAGGGUGACCGGCCACAUUGGGACUGAGAUACGGCCCAG